RNAcentral lists this ribosomal RNA (200 nucleotides) under uncultured bacterium. RNAcentral describes it as "partial 16S ribosomal RNA". It matches the Rfam family "Bacterial small subunit ribosomal RNA", at positions 29 to 224 of the family's 1533-position model. The record is from RNAcentral.
AGUGAACGCUGGCGGCAGGCCUAAUACAUGCAAGUCGAACGGCAGCACAGCAGAGCUUGCUCUGUGGGUGGCGAGUGGCGGACGGGUGAGGAAUACAUGGGAAUCUGCCCAGUCGUGGGGGAUAACGUAGGGAAACUUACGCUAAUACCGCAUGCGCCCUUCGGGGGAAAGCCGGGGACCUUCGGGCCUGGCGCGAUUGG